Molecule: ribosomal RNA, 870 nt
Filed under: Phlyctema vagabunda
Lineage: Eukaryota; Fungi; Ascomycota; Leotiomycetes; Helotiales; Dermateaceae
Description: partial 28S ribosomal RNA
Rfam family: Eukaryotic large subunit ribosomal RNA
Source: RNAcentral
UACCUCAGUAACGGCGAGUGAAGCGGUAACAGCUCAAAUUUGAAAUCUGGGUCUUUCAGGCUCCGAGUUGUAAUUUGUAGAAGAUGCUUCGGGUGCGGCUCCGGUCUAAGUUCCUUGGAACAGGACGUCAUAGAGGGUGAGAAUCCCGUAUGUGAUCGGCCGCUUGCGCCCAUGUGAAGCUCUUUCGACGAGUCGAGUUGUUUGGGAAUGCAGCUCCAAAUGGGUGGUAUAUUUCAUCUAAAGCUAAAUAUUGGCCAGAGACCGAUAGCGCACAAGUAGAGUGAUCGAAAGAUGAAAAGCACUUUGGAAAGAGAGUUAAACAGUACGUGAAAUUGUUGAAAGGGAAGCGCUUGCAACCAGACUUGCGUGUUGUUGAUCAUCCGGGGUUCUCCCCGGUGCACUCGACCUCACUCAGGCCAGCAUCGGUUUCGGUGGUUGGAUAAAGGCCUUGGGAAUGUAGCUCCUCUCGGGGAGUGUUAUAGCCCUCGGUGCAAUGCAGCCUACCGGGACCGAGGACCGCGCUUCGGCUAGGAUGCUGGCGUAAUGGUUGUAAGCGACCCGUCUUGAAACACGGACCAAGGAGUCUAACAUCUAUGCGAGUGUUUGGGUGUCAAACCCAUACGCGUAAUGAAAGUGAACGGAGGUGAGAACCCUUAAGGGUGCAUCAUCGACCGAUCCUGAUGUCUUCGGAUGGAUUUGAGUAAGAGCAUAGCUGUUGGGACCCGAAAGAUGGUGAACUAUGCCUGAAUAGGGUGAAGCCAGAGGAAACUCUGGUGGAGGCUCGCAGCGGUUCUGACGUGCAAAUCGAUCGUCAAAUUUGGGUAUAGGGGCGAAAGACUAAUCGAACCAUCUAGUAGCUGGUUCCUGCCG